This 497-nucleotide ribosomal RNA is filed under the name uncultured bacterium. Its description in RNAcentral is "partial 16S ribosomal RNA". It matches the Rfam family "Bacterial small subunit ribosomal RNA", at positions 28 to 507 of the family's 1533-position model. The record is from RNAcentral.
GAUGAACGCUGGCGGCGUGCCUAAUACAUGCAAGUCGAGCGAACAGAUAAGGAGCUUGCUCCUUUGACGUUAGCGGCGGACGGGUGAGUAACACGUGGGUAACCUACCUAUAAGACUGGGAUAACUUCGGGAAACCGGAGCUAAUACCGGAUAACAUUUGGAACCGCAUGGUUCUAAAGUGAAAGAUGGUUUUGCUAUCACUUAUAGAUGGACCCGCGCCGUAUUAGCUAGUUGGUAAGGUAACGGCUUACCAAGGCAACGAUACGUAGCCGACCUGAGAGGGUGAUCGGCCACACUGGAACUGAGACACGGUCCAGACUCCUACGGGAGGCAGCAGUAGGGAAUCUUCCGCAAUGGGCGAGAGCCUGACGGAGCAACGCCGCGUGAGUGAUGAAGGGUUUCGGCUCGUAAAACUCUGUUAUUAGGGAAGAACAAACGUGUAAGUAACUGUGCACGUCUUGACGGUACCUAAUCAGAAAGCCACGGCUAACUACGUG